GAGAGAACAAGAAUUAGAGAGAAAUUAAUUGUUGUAUUAUUAAAUUGAUGAUUGGCUGUAUCCAAUGCAAUAUCUAUUUAUAUAAUUUUAUUCUCAUAUUCGUUCUCAACUUCCUAUUCUCUGUAACUGAUCACUAACUACUUCCCACAGCUCUCCAUCUUGUUGCUCAUAUAUAAAUAUAAUGCUUCCAGUUUUAUUGGUCUUUCAGUAAAUGCAUGAGUUGCACUAUGCUGUAUCGUCAUUGUUACACAGGAUCAGCAGCUGCAAGCUUGAAAAACGUCAAAAUGGAGGAUUUUUCAUGAACUUGUACUGGUCUCUAUUAUCUGGCAUAAGCAUCAUUUUUUACUUGCCCGGCUGAGAACCUCUUAGAACUUGCAGUGAAAAAGUCACCGUGCACUAGAACAGCUUUAAAGCAAUCUGUGAGUCUUAAGCUAUAUUGCAAAGAACACUAUACCAUCUCAUUUCUUGAAACGCCAAGCUCAUAGUAUUUGAAUCUCUGGUUUCUGUCUGAAAAAUUCUACAUUUCAUGAUGAAGAUAUUACUCAUUUUCAAUUUUAGUACACAGGAGCAUAUGCUUUUUAUUGAUUUAUUGAUGUAAUUGACUGGGGAAGACAGUAUGAGUGCACUUCUACAGUUUUGAGUCAAGAUGAAGCUAUGCUUAUUCUGUAUUUG
Molecule: unclassified non-coding RNA, 672 nt
Filed under: Hevea brasiliensis (rubber tree)
Lineage: Eukaryota; Viridiplantae; Streptophyta; Magnoliopsida; Malpighiales; Euphorbiaceae
Source: RNAcentral